AACAGUUGGAACGACUGCUAAUACCGGAUAUGCCGGAAGGUGAAAGAUUUAUUGCCUGAAGAUAAGCUCGCGUCUGAUUAGCUAGUUGGUAGUGUAAGGGACUACCAAGGCGACGAUCAGUAGCUGGUCUGAGAGGAUGAUCAGCCACACUGGGACUGAGACACGGCCCAGACUCCUACGGGAGGCAGCAGUGGGGAAUUUUCCGCAAUGGGCGAAAGCCUGACGGAGCAAUACCGCGUGAGGGAGGAAGGCUCUUGGGUCGUAAACCUCUUUUCUCAAGGAAGAAAAAAAUGACGGUACUUGAGGAAUAAGCAUCGGCUAACUCCGUGCCAGCAGCCGCGGUAAUACGGAGGAUGCAAGCGUUAUCCGGAAUGAUUGGGCGUAAAGGGUCCGCAGGUGGAACUGAAAGUCUGCUGUUAAAGAAUUUGGCUCAACCAGAUAAAAGCAGUGGAAACUACAGAACUAGAGUACGUUCGGGGCAGAAGGAAUUCCUAGUGUAGCGGUGAAAUGCGUAGAUAUUAGGAAGAACACCGGUGGCGAAAGCGUUCUGCUAGGCCGUAACUGACACUGAGGGACGAAAGCUAGGGGAGCGAAUGGGAUUAGAUACCCC
This 610-nucleotide ribosomal RNA is filed under the name Anabaena sp. TIOX110. RNAcentral's name for it is "bacterial SSU rRNA". It matches the Rfam family "Bacterial small subunit ribosomal RNA", at positions 145 to 788 of the family's 1533-position model. Lineage: Bacteria; Bacillati; Cyanobacteriota; Cyanophyceae; Nostocales; Nostocaceae. The record is from RNAcentral.